This 375-nucleotide long non-coding RNA is filed under the name Salmo salar (Atlantic salmon). RNAcentral describes it as "lncRNA (ENSSSAG00000112892.1)". The record is from RNAcentral. Lineage: Eukaryota; Metazoa; Chordata; Actinopteri; Salmoniformes; Salmonidae.
UUUCCUUUCUGAGUGUAGAGCCAAGUGGACUGUUUUGUUUGGGGCGUGUGACCUGAAGCUCGCUCCACAUUGAUUUUAUCCGCUAUUGAUCACAGUUUAUUAUUUACGUUUAAAAAUACCUGAAGUUGGAUUAGGAAGGUUGUUUAAAAUGUUUGGGCCAAGUUUACAGACCUUUAUUGCCCUGGCCACAUCUGCAGUCCUCAUGCCUCCUUGCAGUAUGCCUAAGGCACGUUCACGCAGAAUAGCAGGGACCCUGGGCAUCUUUCUUUUGUUGUUUUUCAGAGCCUCCAGUGCAUUGUUCCCUCCAGUGAGGCCUGGGGCAGGAGUACAGAGCCAGGAUCUGUAUUUGGAGUGUGGCUGCGAGAUCAAGGCCCC